GACGAACGCUGGCGGCGUGCUUAACACAUGCAAGUCGAACGGGCCCGCUCUCUUUUUUGGGGGUGGGUUGAGUGGCGAACGGGUGAGUAUCCCGUGAGUAACCUGCCCCCUGCUCCUGGAUAACUGCUUGAAAGGGCGGCUAAUACGGGGUGUGCCGGCUGGUCCGCAUGGGCCUGGUCGGGAUAGUUUCAUCUUCGGGUGUUUCGGUGGGGGAUGGGCUCGCGGCCUAUCAGCUUGUUGGUGGGGUGAUGGCCCACCAAGGCGGUGACGGGUAGCCGGCCUGAGAGGGUGGGCGGCCACACUGGGACUGAGACACGGCCCAGACUCCGGCGGGAGGAAGCAGUGGGGGGUAUUGCACAAUGGGCGGAAGCCUGAUGCAGCGACGUCGCGUGAGGGAUGGAGGCCUUCGGGUGGUGAACCUCUUUCUCCGGUGGUGAAGGCCCUGUCCGUUGCGGCGGGGUUGACGGUAGCCGGGUAUGAAGCGCCGGCUAACUACGUG
Molecule: ribosomal RNA, 499 nt
Filed under: uncultured bacterium
Lineage: Bacteria
Description: partial 16S ribosomal RNA
Rfam family: Bacterial small subunit ribosomal RNA
Source: RNAcentral